CGCAGGUUAACAAGGGCCCGGAUGUGUGAGGGAACAAGGCUGUCGUCUGUAGGCGUGAAGGGCCUGUGCGGGAAGUAAGGGGACCUGGGGUGGGUGAAUCCAGAACAGGAGCUGCACACACACCCUGCACUUCCACUCGGUGACCAAGAGGUGGACACUGGAGGUGCCCGGAUGAGGAGCCUGGGAGCCAGUGGCAGGAAGAGGAGGGGGGAUGCCAUGUCAGAGCUGUCGGCCCUACCCCUGUCAUCGACAAGGUCCCAGACCUUCAGCAGCCCCAGGGCAGGAGUGACAGCUGGGUGAGGUUUGUGCCCCCAAGAGGCGACAGGAGGACAGGACCUGUGUUCCGGCAAGCAUCUCGGUCAUUGAUGACGAGAAUGACUUCUGUCCACACCCGCUGCCCCUGACCAGGCAGGCAUCGCGUCCAGGGGGCAGCGUGAGUGAGCAGGAGCCCCGGAGCCCUUCCUGGUUUCUGCUGAUUUCAGGCUACGGCAGUGUUCCUCCACUGGCUGGCCCUGCGGGGAACGGUGACCCUCUCUCCUGGGACACAGGAUAGAGUAUCCCCACUGGCAUCGAGGGGGAAGCCAACACGGACAUCGCCAAACACUAAUAGCAAGCAGAUACCCUGCCUGAGCAGCUCUGAGAACCACAAGACGUGCACCAGCGAGGGAACAUCUGGACCAACAGCUGGAGUUCUCACAACCUGAGGGUUAUUUCUCCUUGACAAACUUUGGAGGCUGUCAAUAUGGUUGUUAAAUUGCACUGCCGUCUGAAUUAUGGAAAUGAAGUUAUCUGCUUUCUGCUUGGUGUCUUUCCCUAAUUCUACACAAGACACAACCCAGAAUAUAAGCCCCAAGAAGACAAUAGUUUCUUUUCUUUUGCCUCGCUAUCCCCAGCAGUUAGUGCCUGAGAGCACAAGGCAAGCUCAACGAAUACAAACGCAGUGGAAGGAAGCAUGUCCCCCAGCGGGAGGCCCAGAGGAAGGAAGAGCAGCAGCCAUCAAUUUCCACCACGCGGUGGCAGCACCCGCCCAGGCACCAGAAGGAUCU
Long non-coding RNA from Felis catus (domestic cat), 1046 nucleotides. RefSeq lists it as uncharacterized. The record is from RefSeq and is a predicted model, not a curated record. The transcript has 4 exons. Lineage: Eukaryota; Metazoa; Chordata; Mammalia; Carnivora; Felidae.